This 567-nucleotide long non-coding RNA is filed under the name Elaeis guineensis (African oil palm). RNAcentral describes it as "long non-coding RNA (EGUI_LNC004420)". Lineage: Eukaryota; Viridiplantae; Streptophyta; Magnoliopsida; Arecales; Arecaceae. The record is from RNAcentral.
GGGGCCGACUCGACUAAUGUCGACAUUAAACAAUGUCUGAGUAGAAAGCAACUCCUUCAGCUCUAGAACUUUGAAGCUACGUAGGAUCUCCAUUUCUUGCCUCCAGUGCUAGUCCAAUAUAGGCUCUUUCAGCAUGGCUUCUUGAGGUUCGCCCAAGGCGACGAACCCCCAAUCUUCCCCAGACGUCUAGGAGACAAAGAAAAGCAUUCCUUCUAGCCAUGGACAGCGGUCGGAGCAUCUUGGAUCAGCGGUCAGAUAUUUUUUCUCCUCGACGACGAUAUGUACCACCAUCCACGAGAUUCUGGAUGCCUCUUAAGGUUGAAGAAGAGGUGAAAAAGUGCAAUGCUGGGCUUGAUCUCGGCCAGCAUGCACACUGUGGUGAAACCACAAAUGUGCCACCAUGAAUUGGGUACCAUCGAACACGGUGAUAUCUCAAAAAAUCAAAAGAAAGCAAUGAAGAAGGGGUGAAGGGAGAGCCUCAAUCCAACUCAAAUGCACUCUUCAUAGAGGCUUAUCCAGCCUGCUGGUGGUUGGCAGACUCGAUUGUCUGGCUCUGAAAUUUUCAAU